Molecule: ribosomal RNA, 250 nt
Filed under: uncultured bacterium
Lineage: Bacteria
Description: partial 16S ribosomal RNA
Rfam family: Bacterial small subunit ribosomal RNA
Source: RNAcentral
UACGGAGGAUCCGAGCGUUAUCCGGAUUUAUUGGGUUUAAAGGGUGCGUAGGCGGGCCUUUAAGUCAGCGGUGAAAGUUCGUGGCUCAACCACGGAAUUGCCGUUGAUACUACUGGCCUUGAGUGUGGACGAAGUGAGCGGAAUUCGUGGUGUAGCGGUGAAAUGCUUAGAUAUCACGAAGAACACCGAUUGCGUAGGCAGCUCACUAGACCACAACUGACGCUGAGGCACGAAGGUGCGGGGAUCAAAC